AAAUUGACUUCUGGGAAAUCAUCUGUUGAUAACAAUAAUACUGACCAAGGAGAUUAGUCUAAACGAAGUUUUCGGUAAGAUAUCCUAACUUAAAGAAUGCCAAAUGGAACAGGAAGAUGAAAUGAAAAUAACUCAGUUCGUCAUAUUUAAAGGUAUGCAUCAUAAAUAAAUAUGAUAUUUGAUACACUAGUUUAUGAAAAGGUCAAAGAACGUAAGUGCAAAUAUACAGUUACGUUACACUGUGGCACACAUAUCUUUAUUACUAACUCAUGAGACAGCUAAAGAGGAUCAAAGAGGAAGUCAAUAAACAUGAUCAAACAUUAAUCACAAAAAAGCAAAGAAAAGGAAAUAACUGAAUUCAAUAAUAAUUAUGAUACAAACUUCAAAGACCUUCAAACAUAUUGAUUCAGUGUUGUUUUAGACAUAUGCACGAGGAUCUGUAUGGGGUUUAUAUAACACAGAGAAUAAUGGAUAAAAAAACAAUAUAAAAAUAGACAAGGACCAAAAAGUACAGAAUGAAAAUAUGUGCCAUGCUAGAAUAUAAAUACUUGGGAAUAAGUGGCAAAAACUGGAAUGAAGAAAAUUGCCUCAAAUGAAUAGGAGAACCCAUUUCCAGCCCCUUAUGUCAAUUACCAUGACCGUCCAAAGAGAGAAAGCCAGUUGUACGAGGACGAGGAAUAUCUUUAGUUUUAUUAUCAAACAGAAUUGAAAAAUAUGACCGUGUUUACACCACGUUGAAAAUCUUCUCUAAAUACAGACAAAUUGAUGCAUCUAGGAAUGUUUUAAUGCAUGACAGGACCUUUAGUCCUAAAUAAAAGUUAUAUGUAGUUUUAUGUUCCAUAAAUCAAAAACUUACCUGGCUUUUGUUGUGCAUUUUUUUCAGUUUGCAGACGACAGGAAAUAAACUUAACACACGAUUUACAUUUGAUAUACGGUCCACUCAGUUGCACAGUUUUAAUCACGUACUGUUUGAAGGUGUUCAUUGUUCAUCUACUGUCAUUUCAAAGCAAUACAACUGAAAACAUUUAUAAUGCAAGGGGGUCUUCUCAAACAGCCCUUUCAAAUGAAAUUGAGAAUAGAAUUGGG
This 1086-nucleotide long non-coding RNA is filed under the name Mytilus galloprovincialis (Mediterranean mussel). Lineage: Eukaryota; Metazoa; Mollusca; Bivalvia; Mytilida; Mytilidae. The record is from RNAcentral.